This 406-nucleotide ribosomal RNA is filed under the name uncultured Butyricicoccus sp. RNAcentral's name for it is "bacterial SSU rRNA". It matches the Rfam family "Bacterial small subunit ribosomal RNA", at positions 355 to 776 of the family's 1533-position model. Lineage: Bacteria; Bacillati; Bacillota; Clostridia; Eubacteriales; Butyricicoccaceae. The record is from RNAcentral.
UGGGGAAUAUUGCGCAAUGGGGGCAACCCUGACGCAGCAACGCCGCGUGAUUGAAGAAGGUCUUCGGAUUGUAAAAAUCUUUUAUCAGGGACGAAGAAGUGACGGUACCUGAUGAAUAAGCUCCGGCUAACUACGUGCCAGCAGCCGCGGUAAUACGUAGGGAGCAAGCGUUAUCCGGAUUUACUGGGUGUAAAGGGCGAGUAGGCGGGUCGGCAAGUUGGGAGUGAAAUGUCGGGGCUUAACCCCGGAACUGCUUCCAAAACUGUUGAUCUUGAGUGAUGGAGAGGCAGGCGGAAUUCCCAGUGUAGCGGUGAAAUGCGUAGAUAUUGGGAGGAACACCAGUGGCGAAGGCGGCCUGCUGGACAUUAACUGACGCUGAGGAGCGAAAGCGUGGGGAGCAAACAGG